UGGACACACCAGACACACAGACACACACACUUCACAGGUCACCCUCACACACUGCCUGCAGGUCUGGGAACCUCACACACACACAGGGAGAGCAUUUCUGCUGUGGAAUUUUGUCGCUGUGAGAGAGUUCUGUGGUGGUGGAAUAGUUCUGUGGCUGUGAGAGAGUUCUGUCGGAACUGACCUGCUGGGUUUGAGAUGUGACCCGUCAGAGCCAUGACUGACCGAGUGACAUCAUGACCGAGGCCCCGAGUGGCUGAGAGCAGGGAGGACAGUGGUGUGUGUGUCUGGACCAGGAGGCAGCAUGACGGGGGUGGCAGUGUGCUUCGGGGCGGUCAACUCCAUCAAGGCGCUCUGGGAGACCAGGAUCAAGAAGAGCAAAGAUGACCAGCAGAAGCAACGAGAGCUCCGGGACCGGGCAGCCGUGGGACGGCUGACAGGGCCAUGGGAGGACCGCAUUGCUCUGAACAAGCUCCGAGAGCGAAUCGUGACGGAGGAUGGACGAGUCAUCCUGCGCAUACAAAAGGAGGAGUGGAAGACCCUUCCUGCUGCGCUGGUCCAGCUGUCAGAGGUGCACGAGUGGCAGCUUCACCGCACCGGCCUGCAGCAGAUCCCGCGCUUCAUCAGCAGCUUCCAGCAGCUCAUCGUCCUCGACCUCUCCCGCAACGCCAUCACCCACAUCCCCAAAGAGAUCGGUAAGCUAACGAGGCUGCGGGAGCUUGUGGUCAGCUAUAACCGCGUGAGCAGCGUCCCAGAGGAGCUGGGCAACUGUGAGAGUCUGGAGAAACUGGAGCUGGCCAUGAACCGGGACCUGGACGAGCUUCCAGAACAGCUGAGCAACCUGAAGAAGCUGCAUCACCUGGACCUGUCCAUGAACCAGUUCACCGAGAUCCCCGAGUGUGUGGUCAACCUGCCCGCUCUCGAGUGGCUGGACAUGGGAGGCAACCAGCUGACGAGACUCCCUGACGACAUACACAGGAUGGAGAAGGUCCAUACCCUGUGGCUCCAGCGGAACGAGCUGGAGCAUCUCCCUGGCAACAUCAGCCGCAUGCACAACCUGGACACUCUGGUGCUGACAGGCAACCGCCUCAAGGACAUCCCCAGCCUGAUGGAGGACAUGAACAACCUCAGGUUUGUGAAUUUCCGUGACAACCCUCUGACGUGGGACGUGACGCUGCCGGAGGCGGCGGCCGAUGGUCCGGAGGACGACGACGACAGGGAGAUGUUCGGACGAGAGUUCAUGCAGCUGUACAUCAGGGAGUCGCGCAAGAGAGACUCCCAGGCCACGUUUACGUCAGUGCUGAAUGUGACGCUGGAAGAUGUGUGUGAGACGCCACCACUCUCUUGACUGUCCUUCAUGUUGGCCUCUGCACUUCCUGCUUCCUGUCAGGCGGCCAUUGUCCGCGUCCUGUCCUUCCUGCUUCCUGUCAGGCGGCCAUGUCCUCGUCCUGUCCUCCCUGCUUCCUGGCGGCCAUGUUUUUGUCCUGUCCUUCUUGUCAUGUUUGAACACAUGUCCCUUUUAUGCUCCUAAUGAAUGGCUCAUGAUGUGAUGAUGUCAGCAAAAAAGUGUGUGUCUAUAGUUGUUAGACAACUAUAGUAGCAGGAGAGUGUGUAUUGUUGUUUGUGUGUUUUGUUCACCUGCCAGCCGAUGCUCGUCCAGUGUUGUGUGUGAUGUCACGCCAGUGAUGACACGUAGGAGUCUUUUCUGAUAUCUAACCCAUACCCACACCUCAAAACAAAUAAAACAUGGAUGAAACUCAGGACUCCCAGUGGAGUCCUACAGCUGCCUCAUUGGCCAAUCAGAAGAGGAACAAAAACAAGUCGGAGGAGACGCUGUCCCCUCUUGAUGAUGUAAGCCUGGUCCCUUGCUAUAUCAGCAGCGGCACGAGACGCUGUCCCCUCUUGAUGAUGUAAGCCUGGUCCCUUGCUAUAUCAGCAGCGGCACGAGACGCUGUCCCCUCUUGAUGAUGUAAGCCUGGUCCCUUGCUAUAUCAGCAGCGGCACCCCUGUGUGGCCGGGGCGGGGCACAGCGGUGAGCAGCACGUUCUCCAGCGAGAUGUCCGGAGUGGUGUAGGACCUCAGGCCGGCCUCCAGGCCUCGCUGCUGCAGGUAGUGGACUCUGCCCUGGUCAAUCAGCAACUUACACAGCCGGCCGAUGUGCUCACGCUCCUCCACAGACAAGCUGCCGGGAGGAACACACACACACACACACACACACACACACACAUUACGGACUCAGUCACACUAUUUCCAUGAUGGUUAAACUGCUGCACUAGCCCCCAGCUCCAAGUUCCACUCUCUCAGUCUGCGUCUACACUGUUGAAGUGUGUCAGCAAUGAAUUAUCUUUGUGACGCUGUGUCGGGGCCCGCGGUGCCCUCCGUGGUGCCCUCUGUGAUGCCCGCGCUGGCCACUGCUGUGCCCUCUCUGUGCCCACCGGCUCGGCUCAUGCCACACGUGGCCCAGCUGGACAUGCGCUGGAAGGCCCCGAACUCGGC
This is an RNA transcript of Alosa alosa (allis shad), 2493 nucleotides long. It is a transcript of the gene named leucine rich repeat containing 39, with no coding region annotated. The transcript has 10 exons. The record is from RefSeq and is a predicted model, not a curated record. Lineage: Eukaryota; Metazoa; Chordata; Actinopteri; Clupeiformes; Clupeidae.